RNAcentral lists this ribosomal RNA (468 nucleotides) under uncultured bacterium. RNAcentral describes it as "partial 16S ribosomal RNA". It matches the Rfam family "Bacterial small subunit ribosomal RNA", at positions 28 to 507 of the family's 1533-position model. The record is from RNAcentral.
GACGAACGCUGGCGGCGUGCUUAACACAUGCCAGUCGAACGGAAAGGCCCUGCUUUUGUGGGGUGCUCGAGUGGCGAACGGGUGAGUAACACGUGAGUAAACUGCCCUUGACUUUGGGAUAACUUCAGGAAACUGGGGCUAAUACCGGAUAGGAGCUCCUGCUGCAUGGUGGGGGUUGGAAAGUUUCGGCGGUUGGGGGUGGACUCGCGGCUUAUCAGCUUGUUGGUGGGGUAGUGGCUUACCAAGUCUUUGACGGGUAGCCGGCCUGAGAGGGUGACCAGCGACAUUGCGACUGAGAUACGGACCAGAAUCCUACGUGAGGCAGCAGUGGCAAAUAUUGCACAAUGGGCGGAAGCCUGAUGCAGCAACGCCGCGUGCGUAAUGACCGCCUUCGGGUUGUAAACCGCUUUCGCCUGUGACGAAGCGUGAGUGACGGUAAUGGGUAAAGAAGCACCGGCUAACUACGUG